AUUGAACGCUGGCGGCAGGCCUAACACAUGCAAGUCGAGCGGAUGAAGGGAGCUUGCUCCUGGAUUCAGCGGCGGACGGGUGAGUAAUGCCUAGGAAUCUGCCUGGUAGUGGGGGAUAACGUCCGGAAACGGGCGCUAAUACCGCAUACGUCCUGAGGGAGAAAGUGGGGGAUCUUCGGACCUCACGCUAUCAGAUGAGCCUAGGUCGGAUUAGCUAGUUUGUGGGUUAAAGGCCUACCAAGCCGACGAUCCGUAACUGGUCUGAGAGGAUGAUCAGUCACACUGGAACUGAGACACGGUCCAGACUCCUACGGGAGGCAGCAGUGGGGAAUAUUGGACAAUGGGCGAAAGCCUGAUCCAGCCAUGCCGCGUGUGUGAAGAAGGUCUUCGGAUUGUAAAGCACUUUAAGUUGGGAGGAAGGGCAGUAAGUUAAUACCUUGCUGUUUUGACGUUACCAACAGAAUAAGCACCGGCUAACUUCGUG
Molecule: ribosomal RNA, 484 nt
Filed under: uncultured bacterium
Lineage: Bacteria
Description: partial 16S ribosomal RNA
Rfam family: Bacterial small subunit ribosomal RNA
Source: RNAcentral